GCCAGCAGCUACAUCACCCUGCAACUCACAACUGCCAGCCCUCUGUACCUAAGCAGGUGUGAGCCUGGUCAGUAUCUGGAUAGGAGACUUCCAGGAAAAAACUGAGGUUUCUGCUGGAA
This 119-nucleotide ribosomal RNA is filed under the name Lepisosteus oculatus (spotted gar). Lineage: Eukaryota; Metazoa; Chordata; Actinopteri; Semionotiformes; Lepisosteidae. The record is from RNAcentral.